GACCUGAUUGUGUAGUCGGUAACACACUUGCUCAAGUUGUCGUGUUAGCCUCGAUAGCCUGUGCGCAGGGGUCCCCGGUUCGAAUCCGGGUCAGGUCA
Molecule: non-coding RNA, 98 nt
Organism: Mycena alexandri
Lineage: Eukaryota; Fungi; Basidiomycota; Agaricomycetes; Agaricales; Mycenaceae
Source: the annotation of a GenBank genome assembly